ACGGGGGGCUACGGGAGGCAGCAGUAGGGAAUUUUCGGCAAUGGGGGAAACCCUGACCGAGCAACGCCGCGUGAGCGAGGACGGCCUUCGGGUUGUAAAGCUCUGUCAUGUGGGAAGAACGGUGAAGGGAGGCAAUGCCCUUCACGUGACGGUACCACAGGAGGAAGCCCCGGCUAACUACGUGCCAGCAGCCGCGGUAAUA
This 202-nucleotide ribosomal RNA is filed under the name uncultured bacterium. RNAcentral's name for it is "partial 16S ribosomal RNA". It matches the Rfam family "Bacterial small subunit ribosomal RNA", at positions 326 to 525 of the family's 1533-position model. The record is from RNAcentral.